Molecule: small RNA, 554 nt
Filed under: Pongo abelii (Sumatran orangutan)
Lineage: Eukaryota; Metazoa; Chordata; Mammalia; Primates; Hominidae
Description: processed transcript
Source: RNAcentral
GCUUCCCACCAGCUCCAGUCGGAGAUUUGGAGCGCUUGUGUCUGCGGCUCAAUCCCGUGAGGUGCCGCGCAACUCAGCGGCGCAUUCUCUUUGGAGCCGAGGAACCACCAUACUUUCCAUUGCUUACUUCCGUUGAACCCCAGGCGCUGCCAUGGCAAGCCGGAAAUAGGGAUAAAGCAAUUUAGCCAGAAGAGGGCGGAAGUGGCUACUCAGGGCGCCGCCAUGACGAGCCGGGCCGGAAGAAGACGCAGGCGGCCCUAGAGGUCACCGCUCGCUACUGUGGCCGGGAGCUGGAGCAGUAUGGCCAGUGUGUGGCGGCCAAGCCGGAAUCCUGGCAGCGGGACUGUCACUACCUUAAGAUGAGCAUUGCCCAAUGCACAUCCUCCCACCCAAUCAUCCGCCAGAUCCGCCAGGCCUGUGCUCAGCCUUUUGAGGCCUUCGAGGAGUGUCUUCGACAGAACGAGGCAGCUGUGGGCAACUGUGCGGAGCAUAUGCGCCGCUUCCUGCAGUGCGCUGAGCAAGUGCAGCCGCCACGCUCACCUGCAACUGUGGAG